CUGGCGGCAGCCUACACAUGCAAGUCGGACGGUAGCACAGAGAGCUUGCUCUCGGGUGACGAGUGGCGGACGGGUGAGUAAUGUCUGGGGAUCUGCCCGAUAGAGGGGGAUAACCACUGGAAACGGUGGCUAAUACCGCAUAACGUCGCAAGACCAAAGGGGGGGACCUUCGGGCCUCUCACUAUCGGAUGAACCCAGAUGGGAUUAGCUAGUAGGCGGGGUAAUGGCCCACCUAGGCGACGAUCCCUAGCUGGUCUGAGAGGAUGACCAGCCACACUGGAACUGAGACACGGUCCAGACUCCUACGGGAGGCAGCAGUGGGGAAUAUUGCACAAUGGGCGCGAGCCUGAUGCAGCCAUGCCGCGUGUAUGAAGAAGGCCUUCGGGUUGUAAAGUACUUUCAGCGGGGAGGAAGGCGACGGGGUUAAUAACCGCGUCGAUUGACGUUACCCGCAGAAGAAGCACCGGCUAACUCCGUGCCUGCAGCCGCGGUAUU
This 495-nucleotide ribosomal RNA is filed under the name uncultured bacterium. Its description in RNAcentral is "bacterial SSU rRNA". It matches the Rfam family "Bacterial small subunit ribosomal RNA", at positions 36 to 524 of the family's 1533-position model. The record is from RNAcentral.